This 351-nucleotide ribosomal RNA is filed under the name Pseudomonas aeruginosa. Its description in RNAcentral is "bacterial SSU rRNA". It matches the Rfam family "Bacterial small subunit ribosomal RNA", at positions 1183 to 1533 of the family's 1533-position model. The record is from RNAcentral. Lineage: Bacteria; Pseudomonadati; Pseudomonadota; Gammaproteobacteria; Pseudomonadales; Pseudomonadaceae.
CGCGAACUCUGGACCCUUACGGCCAGGGCUACACACGCUGCUACAAUGGGUCCGUACAAAGGGUUGCCAAGCCGCGAGGUGGAGCUAAUCCCAUAAAACCGAUCGUAGUCCGGAUCGCAGUCUGCAACUCGACUGCGUGAAGUCGGAAUCGCUAGUAAUCGUGAAUCAGAAUGUCACGGUGAAUACGUUCCCGGGCCUUGUACACACCGCCCGUCACACCAUGGGAGUGGGUUGCUCCAGAAGUAGCUAGUCUAACCGCAAGGGGGACGGUUACCACGGAGUGAUUCAUGACUGGGGUGAAGUCGUAACAAGGUAGCCGUAGGGGAACCUGCGGUUGGAUCACCUCCUAAA